GUGGGGAAUAUUGGGCAAUGGGCGAAAGCCUGACCCAGCAACGCCGCGUGAAGGAAGAAGGUUUUCGGAUCGUAAACUUCUAUCCUUGGUGAAGAUAAUGACGGUAGCCAAGAAGGAAGCCCCGGCUAACUACGUGCCAGCAGCCGCGGUAAUACGUAGGGGGCAAGCGUUGUCCGGAAUGAUUGGGCGUAAAGGGCGCGUAGGCGGCCCGGUACGUCUGAAGUGAAAGUCCUGCUUUUAAGGUGGGAAUUGCUUUGGAUACUGUCGGGCUUGAGUGCAGGAGAGGUAAGCGGAAUUCCCGGUGUAGCGGUGAAAUGCGUAGAGAUCGGGAGGAACACCAGUGGCGAAGGCGGCUUACUGGACUGUAACUGACGCUGAGGCGCGAAAGUGUGGGGAGCAAACAGGAUUAGAUACCCCGGUAGUCC
Molecule: ribosomal RNA, 425 nt
Filed under: uncultured bacterium
Lineage: Bacteria
Description: bacterial SSU rRNA
Rfam family: Bacterial small subunit ribosomal RNA
Source: RNAcentral